CUGUUUACUAUCUUAUUACUUCAGGGUGUCUUUAUUUCCAAAAGUGUGAUGCUGUGGUCAAUAAUUUAUGUUCCUGAGGCAAUAGCGUAUCCUCCCUAAGGAAUGUUUCUCAGUCUCUUUUCACGAUUUCACCAUCCCUCCACCGCAACAGUAAUGGUUUUGCCAGAAAGAAGUGCAUAUUUAAAGAAAAAAGGAUGGAAGAGGUCUUUGCAUUUACACAUGCUAAUUUAUAUCGGACUUGGAACAUAUUUAAGAAGUCUUGCAUCAACCAGCCAUUGAAACAAAAGAUGCAUUCAGACAGAGAACUGUCCCCGCACU
Molecule: long non-coding RNA, 318 nt
Organism: Sceloporus undulatus (fence lizard)
Lineage: Eukaryota; Metazoa; Chordata; Lepidosauria; Squamata; Phrynosomatidae
Exons: 3
Source: RefSeq, a predicted model, not a curated record